AUACUCAACCUGGUGGCGGAAGAUACAUUGUUCAUGAAGGAAGUUUUCCCAUCUAUUGCACUUUGGUGUGCUGGCCCCUGCAGUUUCCUCAAAUGUGGGGAAACUUUAUGGCAGUGGGGGAUUGUGUUUUUGUUUUCCCCUG
This is a non-coding RNA of Podarcis lilfordi (Lilford's wall lizard), 142 nucleotides long. The record is from the annotation of a GenBank genome assembly. NCBI's taxonomy places the organism in Eukaryota, Metazoa, Chordata, Lepidosauria, Squamata, Lacertidae.